CGCCCAGAGCCGCAGCCGCCGCGCAGGCAGGGCCGGGCCGGGCCGGGUGCGCGGGCACAAAGGGGCCGCUGCACAUGGCAGGCAGGCGAGCAGAUGCCAGCAGACAGCUUUUGUCGUCCAGUCUCCCAGUCAUCCGCCUGACCUGCUCCUGUCUGAACAUCCUACCGCGAGUCAAGGCAAAUGGGCUCAGCCGCUGUUCCACUCCACCCAGGCUUGGAGUGGACUCCCCGUGAGCCUGCAGAGGGGCAGGAUGCUGAGUAGCAGGCCAUGCGGGUGCGCCCGGGGUCUCACCCCAGCCCCAGGGAAGAGGCUGUUUCAUUCAGUGAACCAAGAGAUUAUUUUCCACUGGGGCUCCCAUCGAUGCUGAGUUCUGGCUACUUUUUUCCCCUGAUGCUGAAAGGUUCGAUUCUUCCAUCUAUCCAUCAACAAAUCACAUUGAAUGACGGUGCUCAGUGACCCAGGAUGCCACUGGAGACAAAACACACUAUACAUAUUUUCUGGUCUCCCUGGAAAAUUAGUGCAAACACUUUCAUCACUGCGGAGAAGGGAAAUAUGCGCGGAGCUGUGAAAAUCUGCUUUGUUUUUUGUUUUUCUAAGAGGAGAUUUCCCCCUCCUUCAAACAGUGAAAUUUAUAUUGUUCUUUGUCUGCAAAUUAACCAGUUAAGUAGAAUUCCUGUAUGUCUCUUUCACUUUCUGCAAGCCAAGGCCCCUCUUUCUCUCCACCCUGUAUUCAUACAUAGUCCAGGAUCACCCCCUGUCCCCCUCCAAUGCUGCUUGAAAUUUCAUUCCAUUUUCGUCCUGACUUGUUCAAAGUAACAUUUAAAAUAUUUUAAUUCAAAUUCUUAUCUCAUCCAUCCUGUUUAAGUUCCAUUUUAAAGAAUCUUCUUUUCUUA
RNAcentral lists this long non-coding RNA (893 nucleotides) under Homo sapiens (human). RNAcentral describes it as "HSALNT0353800". Lineage: Eukaryota; Metazoa; Chordata; Mammalia; Primates; Hominidae. The record is from RNAcentral.